ACGAAGGGUGCAAGCGUUACUCGGAAUUACUGGGCGUAAAGCGUGCGUAGGUGGUGGUUUAAGUCUGCUGUGAAAGCCCUGGGCUCAACCUGGGAAUUGCAGUGGAUACUGGCAAGCUAGAGUACGGUAGAGGAUGGUGGAAUUCCCGGUGUAGCGGUGAAAUGCGUAGAGAUCGGGAGGAACACCCGUGGCGAAGGCGGCCAUCUGGACCAGUACUGACGCUGAGGCACGAAAGCGUGGGGAGCAAACAGGA
This 253-nucleotide ribosomal RNA is filed under the name uncultured prokaryote. RNAcentral describes it as "partial 16S ribosomal RNA". It matches the Rfam family "Bacterial small subunit ribosomal RNA", at positions 525 to 777 of the family's 1533-position model. The record is from RNAcentral.